This is a non-coding RNA of Macaca mulatta (Rhesus monkey), 854 nucleotides long. Lineage: Eukaryota; Metazoa; Chordata; Mammalia; Primates; Cercopithecidae. The record is from RefSeq and is a predicted model, not a curated record.
UCCCAGCCUCAAACAAUCCUCCUGCCUCAGCCUCCCAAAGUGUUGGGGUUACAGGCAUGAGCCACCAUGGCCAGCCAAGGCUUUCUACUUUUCAGCCAUCCUCAAGUAAAGGCCUUUCUCCACAACACUAAACCUGACCGCUUGCUGUCACAGCUUUUCUUUCACCAAGAGUCCAACUCAACUUUUGAUGAGGACCACUUCUGUUGCCUAGAACGUUCUUUCCUCCUGGAAGCAUCCUGAUUGGACACUGAGUGCUGAGAGCAUACUAACAUCCAGUCAAUCCCUUUGUUACGUCUAGACUAUAAGCAAUCCCCAAAUUCAGUGGCACCUUCUAUAUAGAUAAUAGUUCAACUGCAGAAAGUUCAGGCAUCUGACAGGGGUCAAUCGUGACUCCCACACUUACUGGCUAUGUGCCCUGAUCAAGUCUCUCAGCCUCUAGGAGUCUUGAGUUCCUCACGCGUGGAAUGACAAUCAUGGAACAUGCAUUCCAUGGGGAUGUGGUAAUGAAAUCAGACAAUGUCUAGAGAAAGACUUUCUUGUUUUGUCUUCAUACUCACUGCAUUCUUCUUUUUAAAAUGUUUAUCUCAGAAUUAGCUUUUUGAAAAGUUUAUCAUGUCUCCAAUCCACAACCUAUUUAAAAUAACAGAUAAAAUAUUGGAAAUGUUGUUUUUUUAAGGAUCUCAUAUUUCUAAGAUACAAUGCUUCUUCUCAUUCUGUAAACAUCAGUAGAAUCUAAUAAGCAAAACAUGGAAAGAGCAUAUCCUUUAAGUGUACUUUCCUUACAAUUUCCAAAUACUAUCAUUUUGACAUUAUUACAAGAUAUUAAUUAUUAAACCGAUGGAUAAACUGCUUUU